Molecule: small nuclear RNA, 101 nt
Filed under: Marmota marmota marmota (Alpine marmot)
Lineage: Eukaryota; Metazoa; Chordata; Mammalia; Rodentia; Sciuridae
Source: RNAcentral
GUGCUCGCGUCGGCAGUACUAAAAUUGGAACGAUACAGAGAAGAUUAGCAUGGCCCCUGCGCAAGGAUGACAAGCAAAUUCGUGAAGCGUUCCAUAUUUUU